UACGAAUGGAGCGAGCGUUGUUCGGAAUCAUUGGGCGUAAAGCGUAUGUAGGCGGACAGAAAAGUCAGAAGUGAAAUCCCAAGGCUCAACCUUGGAAUUGCUUUUGAAACUCUCUGUCUAGAGUCCCGGAGGGGUUGACGGAAUUCCGAGUGUAGAGGUGAAAUUCGCAGAUAUUCGGAGGAACACCAGUGGCGUAGGCG
This 200-nucleotide ribosomal RNA is filed under the name uncultured bacterium. Its description in RNAcentral is "partial 16S ribosomal RNA". It matches the Rfam family "Bacterial small subunit ribosomal RNA", at positions 524 to 723 of the family's 1533-position model. The record is from RNAcentral.